GGUAGCUCAGCGGUAGAGCGGGUGACUGUUAAUCACUAGGUCGGCGGUUCGAAUCCGUCC
Molecule: transfer RNA, 60 nt
Filed under: uncultured Halofilum sp.
Lineage: Bacteria; Pseudomonadati; Pseudomonadota; Gammaproteobacteria; Chromatiales; Ectothiorhodospiraceae
Rfam family: tRNA
About the family: Transfer RNA (tRNA) molecules are approximately 80 nucleotides in length. Their secondary structure includes four short double-helical elements and three loops (D, anti-codon, and T loops).
Source: RNAcentral